UUUCCGUAGGUGAACCUGCGGAAGGAUCAUUAAACGCUACGCCACAGGGGCCGGGGAGAAUCGCAGGUCCUCGCGAUCGGCGUUUCUUCUCGCCCUGUCGGAAUAUUACCCAUGAUUUUUGCGCACCCAUUGUUUCCUCGGCAGGCCUGCCUGCCAAGAGGACCCCUUUAAACCACUUGCAGUUGCAGUCAGCGUCAGAAAAACGUAAUUAUCACAACUUUCAACAACGGAUCUCUUGGUUCUG
RNAcentral lists this unclassified non-coding RNA (244 nucleotides) under soil metagenome. Its description in RNAcentral is "partial contains small subunit ribosomal RNA, internal transcribed spacer 1, and 5.8S ribosomal RNA". The record is from RNAcentral.